GAGGAUGAUACCCUGGUAGUCCACGCCGUAAACGAUGUCUACUAGUUGUCGGUGGUCUUGUACUGCUGGUAACGCAGCUAACGCGAUAAGUAGACCGCCUGGGGAGUACGGCCGCAAGGUUAAAACUCAAAUGAAUUGACGGGGGCCCGCACAAGCGGUGGAGCAUGUGGUUUAAUUCGAAGCAACGCGAAGAACCUUACCUGGCCUUGACAUCCUGCGAAUCUCUUGGAGACAAGAGAGUGCCUUCGGGAACGCAGAGACAGGUGCUGCAUGGCUGUCGUCAGCUCGUGCCG
This 293-nucleotide ribosomal RNA is filed under the name uncultured bacterium. RNAcentral's name for it is "partial 16S ribosomal RNA". It matches the Rfam family "Bacterial small subunit ribosomal RNA", at positions 773 to 1067 of the family's 1533-position model. The record is from RNAcentral.